This 474-nucleotide ribosomal RNA is filed under the name uncultured bacterium. RNAcentral's name for it is "bacterial SSU rRNA". It matches the Rfam family "Bacterial small subunit ribosomal RNA", at positions 8 to 472 of the family's 1533-position model. The record is from RNAcentral.
AGAGUUUGAUCCUGGCUCAGGACGAACGCUGGCGGCGUGCUUAACCAUGCAAGUCGAGCGGAAAGGCCCCUUCGGGGGUACUCGAGCGGCGAACGGGUGAGUAACACGUGAGUAACCUGCCCUCGACUCUGGGAUAAGCCUGGGAAACUGGGUCUAAUACCGGAUAUUCACCUCCUGUCGCAUGGUGGGGGGUGGAAAGUUCCUCCGUUUGGGGGUUCGGUCGGGGAUGGGCUCGCGGCCUAUCAGCUAGUUGGUGGGGUAAAGGCCUACCAAGGCGACGAUCCGUAGCUGGUUUGAGAGGACGACCAGCCACACUGGGACAUGAGACACGGCCCAGACUCCUACGGGAGGCAGCAGUGGGGAAUUUUGGACAAUGGGGGCAACCCUGAUCCAGCCAUGCCGCGUGUGCGAAGAAGGCCUUCGGGUUGUAAAGCACUUUUGGCGGGAAAGAAACGGCGCCGGCUAAUACCUGGC